Molecule: ribosomal RNA, 253 nt
Filed under: uncultured bacterium
Lineage: Bacteria
Description: partial 16S ribosomal RNA
Rfam family: Bacterial small subunit ribosomal RNA
Source: RNAcentral
UACGUAGGCAGCAAGCGUUGUUCGGAAUUACUGGGCGUAAAGAGUGUGUGGGCGGUGUUCUAAGUUUGUCGUGAAAUCUCCCGGCUUAACUGGGAGGGUGCGGCGAAAACUGGAAUGCUAGAGGAUGGGAGAGGUAAGCGGAAUUCCUGGUGUAGCGGUGAAAUGCGUAGAUAUCAGGAGGAACACCUGUGGUGUAGACAGCUUACUGGACCAUUUCUGACGCUGAGACACGAAAGCGUGGGUAGCAAACAGG